This 487-nucleotide ribosomal RNA is filed under the name uncultured bacterium. RNAcentral's name for it is "bacterial SSU rRNA". It matches the Rfam family "Bacterial small subunit ribosomal RNA", at positions 28 to 507 of the family's 1533-position model. The record is from RNAcentral.
GAUGAACGCUAGCGGCAGGCCUAACACAUGCAAGUCGAGGGGUAACAUAGGAAGCUUGUCUUUUCUGAUGACGACCGGCGCACGGGUGCGUAACGCGUAUACAACCUACCUUUUAGCGGGGAAUAGCCCAGGGAAACUUGGAUUAAUGCCCCAUAGUAUAUAGACUUCUCCUGAAGUUUAUAUUAAACAUUUAUGGCUAUUAGAUGGGUAUGCGUCCUAUUAGUUAGUUGGUAAGGUAACGGCUUACCAAGGCAGCGAUAGGUAGGGGUCCUGAGAGGGAGAUCCCCACACUGGUACUGAGACACGGACCAGACUCCUACGGGAGGCAGCAGUGAGGAAUAUUGGACAAUGGGCGAGAGCCUGAUCCAGCCAUGCCGCGUGCAGGAAGACUGCCCUAUGGGUUGUAAACUGCUUUUACAGAGGAAGAACCACCCCCACGUGUGGGGGUUUGACGGUACUCUGCGAAUAAGGAUCGGCUAACUCCGUG